CUGGAGCCUAUCCCAGGGAGCAUCGGGCACAAGAGGCAAAUUACCUAUCCAGCACUUUCUUGGGCCCUCAAUAAAACAUCUGUGGAGGUGGGAGCAGGAAGAGCAGAGCCUGGAGCAUACAGUAGUGCACUUCACUGAGAUACUCGGCAGCUACAUGAUUUUCCCAUGGUUCUGUACUCCAGUACAAAGGUUAGCCACAUCUCCAGAGACCUAUAUGACCUUGGGCAAGCUCAGCUACCUCCUCUCCAUGCUAUCCAGGGGGCAU
This is a long non-coding RNA of Ictalurus punctatus (channel catfish), 265 nucleotides long. The record is from Ensembl. NCBI's taxonomy places the organism in Eukaryota, Metazoa, Chordata, Actinopteri, Siluriformes, Ictaluridae.